AACCAUUCUCACCUGCGGCUAGACCUGCGGAGGGAUCAUUAUUGAAUAAAUUUGGUGGGUUGUCGCUGGCUCUUUGGAGCAUGUGCACACCUGCUAACUUUAUCUAUCCACCUGUGCACCUCCGUAGUCUUGGGAGAUGGGAACUGGUUUAGACUCGAAAAGCUCCGUGGGCCUUUCGGAUGUAAGGGAUGCUUUGCGCACGCAUGGCUUUCCUCGCAAGCCAGCUAUCACUCCAAAGAC
Molecule: unclassified non-coding RNA, 240 nt
Filed under: soil metagenome
Description: partial contains 5.8S ribosomal RNA, internal transcribed spacer 2, and large subunit ribosomal RNA
Source: RNAcentral